UACGUAGGGUGCGAGCGUUGUCCGGAAUUAUUGGGCGUAAAGGGCUCGUAGGCGGUUUGUCGCGUCGGGAGUGAAAACCAGGUGCUUAACACCUGGCUUGCUUUCGAUACGGGCAGACUAGAGGUAUUCAGGGGAGAACGGAAUUCCUGGUGUAGCGGUGAAAUGCGCAGAUAUCGAGGAGGAACACCGGUGGCGAAGGCG
RNAcentral lists this ribosomal RNA (201 nucleotides) under uncultured bacterium. Its description in RNAcentral is "partial 16S ribosomal RNA". It matches the Rfam family "Bacterial small subunit ribosomal RNA", at positions 524 to 723 of the family's 1533-position model. The record is from RNAcentral.